CUCAGAUGCAGUGCAAGAGGGGCAUAUGCCUCGGAGACUAUGUUCCCCAAGCAGCUUUGUGAGCCUUGGGAGACCAGCUCAGGAUGAAGCCUUGUCUUCUGUUAUCCAUUGCUGCCUAUCUAAAUGUGAAGAAUAAAAAGUUCAGAAGCCAUUUGUAUUCAAAUAGAAUGCAAUUAAAAAGUCCCAGGCAAGCAUUAUAAGCUCAUAAACAAGAGAGCUAGCAAGAAGAAAAAAAUCAAGAAGCAAAUCUUGAAGCAAGUUAUAACCUGCCAGAUGUGACAAAGGUGAUAGAAAAUCAGAAAAGAACAAAAAAAGUUAUGACCGUUAAUUAGCAUAUGGAAAAAGAUAAUCAGAGGCCCCCAAGGAAGCUGGAUUAUUAAAAAUGCGACCUCCAUUUCAACAAAGAAAUUCCAGGCAGUGACACGGUUUUGAAUUUAUAAUGAGGAUUGAUGAAUAGAAGAGAAUUGGAUAUUUCAAGAAACAAAGAAAUACAUGAGUUGAAGCUACAGUUAACAAAAAAAAGGUACUGGAGGAAAAGUUUUCUACCAAAGACAGAAUAUAUCACUCUACUCUUAUACUCUUCUUUGUGUUUCUACAACCACUUCGAUUCUUCUUUUCUGUAUUGUCAGAUCCCUGCUAAAUGUUUCUCCAGAAGGUGCUGGUUUUUUCUGGUCAUCGGGGCACUGCCAUCUUCUGUAAUCGCACCUCUUCGAAAAAUAUACUAUUUUUACCAAGAGUAAAAAUAGUAUUCACUUAUCCAUGGGGAAUACAUUCCAAGAUCCCCAUUGAAUGCCUGAAACUGUAGAUAGUGCAGAACCCUAUAUAUACCAUGUUUUUUU
Molecule: long non-coding RNA, 839 nt
Filed under: Homo sapiens (human)
Lineage: Eukaryota; Metazoa; Chordata; Mammalia; Primates; Hominidae
Description: HSALNT0319579
Source: RNAcentral